GAUGAACGCUAGCGGCAGGCCUAACACAUGCAAGUCGAGGGAGAAGCCCUUUCGGGGGCAGAAACCGGCGCACGGGUGCGUAACGCGUAUGCAACCUACCUUUCACAGGGGGAUAGCCCGAAGAAAUUUGGAUUAAUACCCCAUAAUAUUAUUGGAUGGCAUCAUUUGAUAAUUAAAACUGCGGUGGUGAAAGAUGGGCAUGCGUCCUAUUAGCUAGUUGGAGUGGUAACGGCACCCCAAGGCUACGUUAGGUAGGGGUCCUGAGAGGGAGAUCCCCCACACUGGUACUGAGACAGGGACCAGACUCCUACGGGAGGCAGCAGUGAGGAAUAUUGGUCAAUGGUCGGAAGACUGAACCAGCCAUGCCGCGUGCAGGAAGAAUGCCUUAUGGGUUGUAAACUGCUUUUAUAUGGGAAGAAUAAGGCGUACGUGUACGUUGAUGACGGUACCAUAUGAAUAAGCAUCGGCUAACUCCGUG
This 478-nucleotide ribosomal RNA is filed under the name uncultured bacterium. RNAcentral's name for it is "partial 16S ribosomal RNA". It matches the Rfam family "Bacterial small subunit ribosomal RNA", at positions 28 to 507 of the family's 1533-position model. The record is from RNAcentral.